This 253-nucleotide ribosomal RNA is filed under the name uncultured bacterium. RNAcentral's name for it is "partial 16S ribosomal RNA". It matches the Rfam family "Bacterial small subunit ribosomal RNA", at positions 524 to 776 of the family's 1533-position model. The record is from RNAcentral.
UACGUAGGGUGCGAGCGUUAAUCGGAAUUACUGGGCGUAAAGCGUGCGCAGGCGGUUUUGUAAGCCAGAUGUGAAAUCCCCGGGCUUAACCUGGGAAUGGCAUUUGAAACUCCCCUUCUUGAGUACCGGAGAGGAAAGUGGAAUUCCUGGUGUAGAGGUGAAAUUCGUAGAUAUCAGGAGGAACACCAGUGGCGAAGGCGGCUUUCUGGACGGUAACUGACGCUGAGACGCGAAAGCGUGGGGAGCAAACAGG